GAAGAGGAGUGGAAAUAGAAGAGAUGGAAAGGGGGAACCAAUAAUCUUUGAGUAAGUUAAAUGGGUAAUAAGAGGUGAAAAAAGUAAAUGGGAAGAAAAGAUGCUUCACAGUAUGAGAAAUUUGGCCUAGCAAAAUUUUGGGAUGAAAUUUCCGGUGGACUGAUGUGAAAUCAACGCGUCGCAUUGUUAGGCAUCAUGUCCACACUUAGAAAAUAUUUUAAUGGCUAGUUCCAGUGAAUUGACGCGAUACCGAUGCAUCAUGCCAGUACUACAAUGUGAUACAUGACGCAUCAGUUGUCAUCAGAUCACACUUAGCAUAAAAUUUUUAUGCUAAUUCUAGUGUCAUGACGUGAACUCAAUGCAUCACGUUGAUAGUUGACGCGUUAAUCGCCGCAUCACGUUGGUUUCCCAUUUUUGUGUAAAUUUAACCCUAGCUGGACCCCUCACUUCCACCUUUAUAUAUAUAUCCUUAAUUUCAUUCCACCUUCACCCUAACUCCAUCCGCAGCAGCCGCCCUAGAAUUCCCUCACCAUAAAAAUAAUUUCCCUCUUUUAUCAGUCUAGUGGUGUCAAGAAUCUCACUCCAUUCUUUUUUUCCUUCUUCAUCAAGUCAAAGGUACUAUGUCGAGCCAUCACCAAAGUAGUAAGGAAAAAAAAGAAUGUAUCUAGUUCAUCUCAAUACAGGAACAAAAAGAGUCGGCCAGCCGACCGUGUGACCUCGGCCCCACACAUUCCACGGGGUCAGCCUAAGAGGUUCGGGGCUAGGGCAGUAACUGCAGCAGGAAGAAAAUAGUACUCGCAGCACAAAGAGUCCAAGUAUUUUGCAGAUCAAUUCAUUAAAAGAGCCAGCUUGCUGAAAAAAUUAUCCGUCUAUGGUGCGAAAAAUAGAGGCACUACACAUGCAUUUCCUGUUUCAGCAACCUGCUGAAUACAACUUGAGCCUCGUACACUUGAUAUGGAUGCUGAUACCUUGAAGAAAUUCAUUAUUAAGCCACAAUACCAGCACCUCUGACACCUCUUAUGUGGCACCCGUUCAGCAGCUAGGUGGAUUCGCCACAAAGAAAGUGGUACUCACGUGUCUCUUUCGUUUGCUCACAUGAACUGGGAAGUGCAUUUAUGGGCUAAAAUUAUAUACGCCUGCCUUGUUCAUGACACUCAUUUGACGGAGGUAACUCGUGAUAGGGUUUGUCUCAUCUAUGCUCUGAUGUGGGACAAUAUUGAUUUGAAUGUUAAUGCUAUUAUUUUUUUUUGCAAUGAAAAAAGCCUAAUUUUUGGGGGCUCAUAGAUAUGGUUUCAGUGGGCUGCUGACUAGAUUUUUAAGUCUACAGGGUGUGCCUAAAGAGGAUGUUGACUAUAAACCACCGGCUAAUACCAAACCGUUGGAAUUCUCAUGUACUAAGGGACCGACUUCUCAUGGCACCACUUUAACCAUGCUUGAGUGCCAAGAUCGAAGCGAUGAGGUCCUAGCUCGACUGUUAGGUCUAUCUAUGUUACAGCUGAAAGUUGGGGGGCAUCCAACCACCCAAUAAGAGAUUUAUGUUGUUGAGCUGGACUACUCAUACCCCAUGCUAAGACUAUGUUGUGGGUUGGACCAGAUUUUGAUGAACCAGUGGAUGAUGACGUCCCCAUGGACGAAGAGCGGUGCAUGGAUUGUUCUAACGAUGAGUUAGUCGAGGAAGAGCAGUCUGACGAUGAUGACUUUGAUGCUGAUUUCGGUUAUGAUGCGGAUAUGGAUGCCCAGUGAGUUGGGAGCAAAUCCCCACCUCAUGCUUAUGAUUGUAUUGCAAGCACUGAGACAGUGCUUUCUCUAAAGUGUGGGGUUGGUGGAAGUCUUUGUCUCUUCUACUCUUUCUGUUUUAUUUCUGCUGGACAAAUUUUAAUUUUUGCUUUUGGGAUUUUAAUUUUUGGCAUUUGGAUGUUUAUGUUGUUGUUGUUGACUUAGUUUUUUGUGGUGGUUAUGUUCAAAUGAUUUCAUUUUAUUUUGCUGUUUUGACUUAGUUUCAUUUUGCUUUUGUUCUGGAGUAGUUGCUCUU
This is a long non-coding RNA of Capsicum annuum, 2032 nucleotides long. RefSeq lists it as uncharacterized. The record is from RefSeq and is a predicted model, not a curated record. NCBI's taxonomy places the organism in Eukaryota, Viridiplantae, Streptophyta, Magnoliopsida, Solanales, Solanaceae. The transcript is spliced from 3 exons.